GUUCUGGAUAUAUCUUUAGAAAAUUUGCAUCAUAGCUCUGAAUCCCAAGAUGAAGCAAAUAUGGAAAUUGUGGGUUGACUUUUCCUGAUUUAUUAGAAGGAACGAGUCCCCUUGAAAAUAGCAUAACCUCGAUUAUCCACCACACAUUUCACUCUAUUGGGAUCAAAUGCAUCUUCAGGCUUUAAAGAUGUUACAGCAGUACUAAACACUGCAUCUGGGGAUGCCUGCAGUGCUUUAACAAUUCCAUCAAUUAUCUCAGGUUCAAUGAGAGGCUCAUCCCCCUGAAUAUUGACAACAACAUCAUAUUUCUUUUCUAGCUUUCCAAGAGCUUCAUUGCAUCUUUCUGUACCAUUUCUACAAGAUUCUGAAGUCAUUAUCACAUCUGCCCCAAAUCCACGACAACACUCUGCAAUCUUUUCAUCAUCCGUUGCCACAACUAUGUGAUCCAAGGUAGUUGCUAAUUUUGCUCUUUCCCAAGUUCUCUGAAUCAUGGGUUUCCCUAGAAUUUGGACUAGUGGCUUGCCCUGGAACCGAGAGGAAGCGAAACGAGCAGGUAUGAUUCCUACAACCCGGCUUCGGAACUUUCUG
RNAcentral lists this unclassified non-coding RNA (588 nucleotides) under Hevea brasiliensis (rubber tree). Lineage: Eukaryota; Viridiplantae; Streptophyta; Magnoliopsida; Malpighiales; Euphorbiaceae. The record is from RNAcentral.